ACGGAGGGAGCUAGCGUUGUUCGGAAUUACUGGGCGUAAAGCGCACGUAGGCGGCUACUCAAGUCAGAGGUGAAAGCCCGGGGCUCAACCCCGGAACUGCCUUUGAAACUAGGUAGCUAGAAUCUUGGAGAGGUCAGUGGAAUUCCGAGUGAAGAGGGGGAAUGCGUAGAUAUUCGGAAGAAGACGAGAGGGGAAGGCGAGUAAAUGGACAAGUAUUGACGCUGAGGUGCGAAAGCGUGGCGAGCAAACAG
RNAcentral lists this ribosomal RNA (251 nucleotides) under uncultured prokaryote. RNAcentral's name for it is "partial 16S rRNA". It matches the Rfam family "Bacterial small subunit ribosomal RNA", at positions 525 to 775 of the family's 1533-position model. The record is from RNAcentral.